Molecule: ribosomal RNA, 459 nt
Filed under: uncultured bacterium
Lineage: Bacteria
Description: bacterial SSU rRNA
Rfam family: Bacterial small subunit ribosomal RNA
Source: RNAcentral
AACGAACGCUGGCGGCAUGCCUAACACAUGCAAGUCGAACGAUGCCUUCGGGCAUAGUGGCGCACGGGUGCGUAACGCGUGGGAAUCUGCCCUUGGGUUCGGAAUAACUCAGAGAAAUUUGAGCUAAUACCGGAUGAUGACGUAAGUCCAAAGAUUUAUCGCCCAAGGAUGAGCCCGCGUAAGAUUAGCUAGUUGGUGGGGUAAAGGCCUACCAAGGCGACAAUCUUUAGCUGGUCUGAGAGGAUGAUCAGCCACACUGGGACUGAGACACGGCCCAGACUCCUACGGGAGGCAGCAGUGGGGAAUAUUGGACAAUGGGCGAAAGCCUGAUCCAGCAAUGCCGCGUGAGUGAUGAAGGCCUUAGGGUUGUAAAGCUCUUUUACCAGGGAUGAUAAUGACAGUACCUGGAGAAUAAGCUCCGGCUAACUCCGUGCCAGCAGCCGCGGUAAAGUCUGUACU